UAGGGAAUCUUCGGCAAUGGACGAAAGUCUGACCGAGCAACGCCGCGUGAGUGAAGAAGGUUUUCGGAUCGUAAAACUCUGUUGUUAGAGAAGAACAAGGACGUUAGUAACUGAACGUCCCCUGACGGUAUCUAACCAGAAAGCCACGGCUAACUACGAGCCAGCAGCCGCGGUAAUACGUAGGUGGCAAGCGUUGUCCGGAUUUAUUGGGCGUAAAGCGAGCGCAGGCGGUUUCUUAAGUCUGAUGUGAAAGCCCCCGGCUCAACCGGGGAGGGUCAUUGGGAACUGGGAGACUUGAGUGCAGAAGAGGGGAGUGGAAUUGCAUGUGUAGCGGUGAAAUGCGUAGAUAUAUGGAGGAACACCAGUGGCGAAGGCGGCUCUCUGGUCUGUAACUGACGCUGAGGCUCGAAAGCGUGGGGAGCAAACAGG
RNAcentral lists this ribosomal RNA (429 nucleotides) under Gemmatimonadota bacterium. Its description in RNAcentral is "Gemmatimonadetes bacterium partial 16S ribosomal RNA". It matches the Rfam family "Bacterial small subunit ribosomal RNA", at positions 355 to 776 of the family's 1533-position model. The record is from RNAcentral. Lineage: Bacteria; Pseudomonadati; Gemmatimonadota.